RNAcentral lists this ribosomal RNA (497 nucleotides) under uncultured bacterium. RNAcentral's name for it is "partial 16S ribosomal RNA". It matches the Rfam family "Bacterial small subunit ribosomal RNA", at positions 28 to 507 of the family's 1533-position model. The record is from RNAcentral.
GAUGAACGCUGGCGGCGUGCCUAAUACAUGCAAGUCGAGCGAACAGACGAGGAUCUUGCUCCUCUGACGUUAGCGGCGGACGGGUGAGUAACACGUGGAUAACCUACCUAUAAGACUGGGAUAACUUCGGGAAACCGGAGCUAAUACCGGAUAAUAUAUUGAACCGCAUGGUUCAAUAGUGAAAGACGGUUUUGCUGUCACUUAUAGAUGGAUCCUCGCCGCAUUAGCUAGUUGGUAAGGUAACGGCCUACCAAGGCAACGAUGCGUAGCCGACCUGAGAGGGUGAUCAGCCACACUGGAACUGAGACACGGUCCAGACUCCUACGGGAGGCAGCAGUAGGGAAUCUUCCGCAAUGGGCGAAAGCCUGACGGAGCAACGCCGCGUGAGUGAUGAAGGUCUUCGGAUCGUAAAACUCUGUUAUUAGGGAAGAACAAAUGUGUAAGUAACUAUGCACGUCUUGACGGUACCUAAUCAGAAAGCCACGGCUAACUACGUG